GAGGCAAUGAUUCCAUGCAAUGGCUUGGGCUUCAGGGCCCCCUGACCCCUUGGGCCCCUGGGCCUGGGCCCGGUAAGCCCGUGCAGUAAUCCAUCCCUGGUAGCAUGGGCCCCGGAGAUGUGAGUUCAGUUUACUGUGUCAGCCCGCCAUUCUCCUUGAGAUCAGACCAUCUCGGUUGGUUUAAUUGAUAUUAAUUAAUUUGCUAUUAAUUUAGCUGUAAAUGUCAGAUAACUGUAACAGCAAAUGAAAGACCUUGGUCUUGUAAUUUGUUUUCUUUCUUUCACAUCACAUUCAAAGGAUCAUAAAGCAUUACAGAUGAAGGGUAUCAUUAGACAUUUCACAGGACCAUUUCAGUCCUUCUCAUUCAACUCAGUUCUUUGUUUUGUAUCUGCAACUUAACAAUUCUUGUUUGCUGGACAGCAUAGUGUCUGUUAGCUGCACAUCUCAAAACUGGCAAGUAAAAAAGCAUUACAAAAUCCAAUCAAAUCAUACCCCAAUGCCAAUUGUCUUUUAUUUUAUGGUACAGUUACAUGUAAAGGGUGAAAAAGUAACUUAUUCUUCAUACCGUAACUUUGACUUUGUUCUCUCUCCUUUCGUUCCUGGUUCCUGGCGUUGAGAAUGCUGUACCUACUAUAAGUGUCGACAGCCUACCUGUUCUAGAUCAUUUGGAUGCACAAAGCAUUACGACCCUUUGUGGAGAUGAUGGAUACACAUAUGUCAAGUGUGUGCUUUGCAGGCAUAACAAGCUGACGAGGAAAGGAGUGUGUGUUAAGCACAGCGGGUCUUGCCAGGCUGCCUCGCCAUCUGUCUUCUGGUUGGACAACAAUGACAAAGGCCUACAGUACUACAGACCUUUACCAGCAAAUGACCCAGUAUUCCUCAUGGGGCUCAAGUCCUCUCAUGUCUUCUAAAGUACUCUGCUUUUUGAUAGAUCUCUAUAACUUCAUUGUGCAAGUCUAGAGACAUGCAUGGUAAAGUGAAAUAAAGUUAUGCAGCAUUCAUAUGUUUCCACUAAUUAAUGUCUGAAAAAUAAGAUCUGACACAAUAUUAAAGAUGUAGCAUUUAAAAUGUCUACAUUACACUCAAUAAUACUCUCUGACACUUAAACACAACUCAUGGUUGUCCUCGUCAAUGUUCUCUGAACAGACUUUAUUGGCAGUGAGUGCAUACAAAUAUGUUGCAAACACUGAUGAAACAACAUAACAAGUUGUAAAACAUUCUAUGAAGUUCAUGAAAGGUGCGUUGACAGUUUGACCUCUGGCAACAAACAUUGGAGAACCUAUUCACAGCCAUUGUAGUGUAAGAAACUAUACUAUUACUGUAGAUAUGGGCAGCAAUAAAAAUGUCACUAUAAGAAACUACCAUCAUUUAACUUAACAGUGAUACCAAGCUCAUCCAGAUGUGGCUUCAUGAGAGAUUCAUAAUGAGUUCAGAGAUAGGACAGACUGGGUCAGCCCCUACAGUAGGUUGCUGAAGUUGUUUAGUGUAACAUUGCCAUGUAUUGUUGGAUUUGAAUCAGUGUGCAUUCCGGCCUGUUGUUAAUUUUUAGUGUGUACCAAUGUUCAUUGCUGCCCUUACAGUACAUGCAGCAGGCUGUGUGGCAUGUUAUUCCAUAACUGUUAAGGGCUCUCUGGACUGCAGCCAAACACACACCCUACAGUUUUAGAGUCUGACACUUUUCUCUCCUCAUAGGUUUAGACAGUAUGUCACUCAUGUGUUUAAUGGGAUAAAGCAUAUCAAGUUUAUUAAAGCAACAUGAUGUAAGAAUUGGAAGAAUUUAUCCCUUUUCAUCAACUUCUAUCAAUCAUCAUCAUCAUCAAAAUGUGUUUGAAGCUGUCAUAAGGUAAAAUCAUUAUGUAUGGCUUAUGUGUGACAUUCUUAUUGAUAUUCAGUACUGUACACUCUUAAGUGCCUUCUCUCAAUGGAGCAGAUCAUCUCGGUGCACAUCCUGUCACUGUCCUCCACUGCUGUCUGUGCAGUGCUCUGAUUGGAGACACAAAGAUAGCUCAUUCAUGAUGUGACUAUAGCCUUUGGUCUGAUUUUUACAAAGUCCCAAUCCUGCCUCUCUGUGAUGGUCUGCAGCAUGUGUAGAGAUGGCAGCAUAAUGGUAAUAAUAUGUGCAGAUAUCACACUCCACAUCUCCAGGUUCAGCAAAACAGUGAGCAGGAGUAGCAGCUUGGAUUCUGGUCUUCCUAAAUUCUUCCACUAUUUCAGCAAUCAGAGUGUUUUUACUAAGAACAGGUCUUGCCCUACAGUAAAAUUCAGUCUGCACUGGGGGCAGCUGUAGAUGCCUUUACCAUCCUCCUGAUCCCAGGAACCCUUAUUACAUGCAAAACAAUAGUUGUGUCCACACAGAGAACAUCAUUCAGUAGUGAAAGACUCCUGUCUUGGCUGAGAAAUCCACCAUGUCUUUUUCUGAUCACACACAGGGAAAGAUUAGACAGCAGUGUGAAAUGUCACUUUUGCUUUCCUGUAUUUUAUCACAAUAAUGUAUUUCUCUCUUGUCCCCUGCCCCUUUUCCACAGCCCUGUGUCUCUUGCUCUUGGAUCUGGAAACAUUUUGUGUUGACUGUGGACACUUACUUUUUCAAUAUUUGGACUUUUAUCCUUUUAUCAACCUUACUCCGAGUUUGGGAUCUUUGCUUUGAGGGCAGUUAGGAUAUAUACAGUAUCUCAGUUGAUAUGCAGUGACUUUUGACACACUGAUACGUUUUGCCUUUUCCCAUAUUGCAGAUGAUCCACAGUUUGACAACUCUGCAUGAAUGAGGAUACUCUGAAAUCUACUGCAGGAGUUUCCUACUGAUUUGAAAGGACCCAAGCCUCUUCAGGAAAUAGAGACAGAAUCAACACAGUAUUUGGCAUGUCAUGCCAAAUAUCUUGCAAAAGCAAAGACUUCAUUCAAAACAAUAAACUUUUCUAAAAACUG
Molecule: long non-coding RNA, 2925 nt
Organism: Alosa alosa (allis shad)
Lineage: Eukaryota; Metazoa; Chordata; Actinopteri; Clupeiformes; Clupeidae
Exons: 3
Source: RefSeq, a predicted model, not a curated record